UACGUAGGAGGCGAGCGUUGUCCGGAGUUACUGGGCGUAAAGGGUGCGCAGGCGGCGGUUCGCGUGGCGAGAUGAAAUCUCCUGGCUUACCUGGGAGGAUGGUCGCCAGACGGGAUCGCUUGAGGGUCGGAGAGGGGCGUGGAAUUCCGGGUGGAGCGGUGAAAUGCGUAGAGAUCGGGAGGAACACCAGUGGCGAAAGCGGCCGACUGGACCUGUCCUGACGCUGAGGCGCGAAAGCGUGGGGAGCGAACCGG
Molecule: ribosomal RNA, 254 nt
Filed under: uncultured bacterium
Lineage: Bacteria
Description: partial 16S ribosomal RNA
Rfam family: Bacterial small subunit ribosomal RNA
Source: RNAcentral